AUCAAAACAAGAUGAAGUUCUUUGGAAUUGUGUUGUUUUUGUUCUCACUUGUCGCAGCAAGUUUUGCAACAAAAAGAUACCUGAGGUCCGCUGGCCCCCCUUUUCCACCACAUCAUGGACCACCACCGUAUAACGGGGAAUGGAGUCAGUGGGGUAAUCCAGAUAAUUGAACAUUUUACAAGAAAAGAAAUUUUGUCUUUGCCAAAAAAUAAAGAAAUUAUAAAAUA
Long non-coding RNA from Tribolium madens (black flour beetle), 227 nucleotides. RefSeq lists it as uncharacterized. The record is from RefSeq and is a predicted model, not a curated record. NCBI's taxonomy places the organism in Eukaryota, Metazoa, Arthropoda, Insecta, Coleoptera, Tenebrionidae. The transcript has 2 exons.